RNAcentral lists this ribosomal RNA (426 nucleotides) under uncultured bacterium. RNAcentral describes it as "partial 16S ribosomal RNA". It matches the Rfam family "Bacterial small subunit ribosomal RNA", at positions 354 to 796 of the family's 1533-position model. The record is from RNAcentral.
GUGAGGAAUUUUCCGCAAUGGGCGAAAGCCUGACGGAGCAAUGCCGCGUGAAGGAUGAAGGCCUAUGGGUUGUAAACUUCUUUUCUCAGAAAAGAAUUAUGACGGUAUCUGAGGAAUAAGCAUCGGCUAACUCUGUGCCAGCAGCCGCGGUAAGACAGAGGAUGCAAGCGUUAUCCGGAAUGAUUGGGCGUAAAGCGUCUGUAGGUUGUUUAAAAAGUAUUCUGUAAAAGAUUAGGGCUUAACCCUAGAUAGGCAGAAUAAACUUUUAAGCUAGCGUUUGGUAGAGGCAGAGGUAAUUCCCGGUGGAGCGGUGAAAUGCGUAGAUAUCGGGAGGAACACCAAAGGCGAAGGCACUCUGCUGGGCCAAUACUAACACUGAGAGACGAAAGCGAGGGGAGCAAAUGGGAUUAGAAACCCGGGUAGUCC